CAUUACUGAACUGUCGACACGAGUUGUUGCUGGCCCUCAAAUGGGGGCAUGUGCACGCUCUGUUUACACACCCACUCACACCUGUGCACCCUCUGUAGUUCCGUGGUGUGGGGGACUCUGUUCUCCCACUGUGGUUCUAUGUCUUUACACACACACAGUGACAAAGUUUUAUGGAAUGCAUGUCGCGUUUAACGCAAUACAAUACAACUUUCAGCAACGGAUCUCUUGGCUCUCGCAUCGAUGAAGAACGCAGCGAAAUGCGAUAAGUAAUGUGAAUUGCAGAAUUCAGUGAAUCAUCGAAUCUUUGAACGCACCUUGCGCCCUUUGGCUAUUCCGAAGGGCAUGCCUGUUUGAGUAUCAUGAACACCUCAACUCUCAUGGUUUGCCGUGAUGAGCUUGGACUUUGGGGGUCUUGCUGGCCUACGGUCAGCUCCCCUAAAAUGAAUCAGCUUGCCAGUGUUUGGUGGGAUCACAGGUGUGAUAACUAUCUACGCUUGUGGCCUUCCACCAAUUAACUUCCAGCAAUGGAGGUUCGCUGGAGCUCAUAAACGUCUCUCCUCAGCNAGGACAGCUCUUUUGAAUGUUUGAUCUCUUGAUCUCAAAUCAGGUAGGACUACCCGCUGAACUUAAGCAUAUCAAUA
This 641-nucleotide ribosomal RNA is filed under the name Tomentella sp. LM5047. RNAcentral describes it as "eukaryotic LSU rRNA". The stretch from base 206 to 360 matches the Rfam family "5.8S ribosomal RNA". The record is from RNAcentral. Lineage: Eukaryota; Fungi; Basidiomycota; Agaricomycetes; Thelephorales; Thelephoraceae.